Molecule: ribosomal RNA, 253 nt
Filed under: uncultured bacterium
Lineage: Bacteria
Description: partial 16S ribosomal RNA
Rfam family: Bacterial small subunit ribosomal RNA
Source: RNAcentral
UACAGAGGGUGCAAGCGUUGUUCGGAAUUAUUGGGCGUAAAGCGCGUGUAGGCGGCUUUGCAAGUCGGGUGUGAAAGCCCUCAGCUUAACUGAGGAAGUGCGCCCGAAACUGCAUGGCUUGAGUACCGGAGAGGGUGGCGGAAUUCCCCAAGUAGAGGUGAAAUUCGUAGAUAUGGGGAGGAACACCAGUGGCGAAGGCGACUUCCUGGCCUGUUCUUGACGCUGAGGCGCGAAAGCUAGGGGAGCAAACGGG